This 279-nucleotide ribosomal RNA is filed under the name uncultured bacterium. RNAcentral's name for it is "partial 16S ribosomal RNA". It matches the Rfam family "Bacterial small subunit ribosomal RNA", at positions 506 to 784 of the family's 1533-position model. The record is from RNAcentral.
UGCCAGCAGCCGCGGUAAUACGGAGGGAGCGAGCGUUAAUCGGAAUUACUGGGCGUAAAGCGCGCGUAGGCGGCUUUGUAAGUCGGAUGUGAAAGGCCUGGGCUCAACCUGGGAACUGCAUGCGAUACUGGGCAUCUAGAGUAUGGUAGGGGGAAGUGGAAUUUCCGGAGUAGCGGUGAAAUGCGUAGAUAUCGGAAGGAACACCAGUGGCGAAGGCGACUUCCUGGGCCAAUACUGACACUGAGGUGCGAAAGCGUGGGGAGCAAACAGGAUUAGAUA